UGUGGCCAAGCUACUAAGGGCCAGCGGUGGAUGCCUCGGGCGCAGGAGGCGAUGAAGGGCGUGGCAAGCUGCGAAAAGCCACGGGGAGCCGCAAGCAGGCGUUGAUCCGUGGAUUCCCGAAUGGGGGAACCCGGCCAGGGUAAUACCUGGUCAUCCGCUGGGUUAAUACCCGGUGGAGGCGAACCCGGGGAAGUGAAACAUCUCAGUACCCGGAGGAGAAGAAAUCAAACGAGAUUCCCUGAGUAGCGGCGAGCGAAAGGGGAGGAGCCCAAACCGGAUGGGUGUAGAAGCCCCUAGGCGUUGCCCAUCCGGGGUAGAGGGGGCACACUGGAGGAGGCUAGGGACUCCUCGGGGAGUGACAAAUCCCGCCAGUUAGCCGAAGGCACCUGGAAAGGUCCGCCGUAGAGGGUGAGAGCCCCGUAGGCGAAAGCUGGAGGGACUCCCUGGGUGUGCUACCCAAGUAGCACGGGGCACGAGGAAUCCCGUGUGAAUCAGGGGGGACCACCCUCCAAGGCUAAAUACUCCCUGCGCACCGAUAGAGCAUGAGUACCGUGAGGGAAAGGUGAAAAGAACCCCGGGAGGGGAGUGAAAUAGAGCCUGAAACCGCUGGCCUACAAGCAGUCGGAGCCUGCGCGAUAGCGUGGGUGACGGCGUGCCUUUUGCAUAAUGAGCCCGGGAGUUGUCGUCAGUGGCGAGGCUAAGCCGAAUAGGCGGAGCCGAAGCGAAAGCGAGUCUGAAAGGGCGCAGAGUCGCUGGCGGCAGACCCGAAGCGGGACGAGCUACCCAUGGCCAGGGUGAAGGCGGGGUAACACCCGCUGGAGGCCUGAACCGGUGGAGGGUGAAAACUCCUCGGAUGAGCUGUGGGUAGGAGUGAAAAGCUAAUCGAGUCCCGUGAUAGCUGGUUCUCCCCGAAAUGUAUUGAGGUACAGCCUCAGGGGUUAUCUGGCGGGGGUAGAGCACUGUUGGGGCUAGGGGGCUUACCGGCCUACCGAACCCCGGCAAACUCCGAAUACCGUCAGAUGGACCCUGGGAGUGAGCCGCUGGGUGAUAAAGUCCAGCGACGAGAGGGGAACAACCCAGACCGCCAGCUAAGGUCCCGAAGUACUGGCUAAGUGGUAAAGGAGGUGGCCCUGCUUAGACAACCAGGAUGUUGGCUUAGAAGCAGCCAUCAUUUAAAGAGUGCGUAACAGCUCACUGGUCGAGCGGGGCUGCGCCGAAAAUACCACGGGGCUUAAGCCAGUCGCCGAAGCUGCGGACUCAUGCUGUUGGAGGCAUGAGUGGUAGGGGAGCACUCUGACCGCGCAGAAGGGUGACCUGUGAGGGCACCUGGAGUGGUCGGAGGAGAGAAUCCGGGCACGAGUAGCGAUAAAGAGGGUGAGAAUCCCUCUCGCCGUAAGCCCAAGGUUUCCUGGGGAAGGGUCGUCCGCCCAGGGUUAGCCGGACCCUAAGGCGAGGCCGGAAGGCGUAGCCGAUGGGAAGAGGGGUCAACAAUCCCCCGCCACCUGAGUGGAGGCCAAGGGGUGACGCAGGAGGGAAGGGCGCCGGGGCCGUGAAUGGCAGGCCCUCCAAACCCGUAGCCCGGAGAGGGGGCGAGGCAAAUCCCGUCCCUGAGGGUGAGGGGGAGUAAGUAACCGGGAGCGUGAGCUUUCGGGAAGGUGCUCGGACCACACUGCCGAGAAAUAGCCUCGUGGCUGAAGAAGCUCAGGUGACCGUACCGCAAACCGACACAGGUGGGCGGGCAGAGAAUGCUCAGGCGCGUGGGGUAACCCUGGCUAAGGAACUCGGCAAAAUGGCCCCGUAACUUCGGGAGAAGGGGUGCCCACGCUGGUGAAGGCCCAUAGCGGCUGGAGCUGGUGUGGGUUGCAGGGAAUCGGCGGUGGCGACUGUUUACCAAAAACACAGGACUCUGCUAAGUCGUAAGACGACGUAUAGGGUCUGACGCCUGCCCGGUGCCGGAAGGUGAAGGGUCCGGGUUAGGGGGUUGACCCCGAAGCUCGGACUUGAAGCCCCGGUAAACGGCGGCCGUAACUAUAACGGUCCUAAGGUAGCGAAAUUCCUUGUCGGGUAAGUUCCGACCUGCAUGAAUGGCGUAACGACUGCCGCACUGUCUCGGCCAGGGUCCCAGCGAAACUGUAGUCUCGGUGAAGAUGCCGGGUACCCGCGGUGGGACGGAAAGACCCCGUGAAGCUUUACUGCAGCUUGGCAUUGCACUUCGGUGCAGGAUGUGCAGGAUAGGUGGGAGGCAGGGAAGCCUGGGCGCCAGCCCGGGUGGAGCCGACCUUGAGAUACCACCCUUCCUGCAUCGGGGUGCUAACCUGGUGGGGUGAUCCUCCACAGGGACAGUGCCUGGUGGGCAGUUUGACUGGGGCGGUCGCCUCCUGAAAGGUAACGGAGGCGUCCAAAGGUACCCUCAGGCGGAUUGGAAACCCGCCGUUGAGUGCAAGGGCAGAAGGGUGCUUGACUGCGAGGCCGACGGGCCGAGCAGGGACGAAAGUCGGGCCUAGUGAUCCGGCGGUGCCGAGUGGAAGGGCCGUCGCUCAACGGAUAAAAGUUACUCCGGGGAUAACAGGCUGAUCGCUCCCAAGAGUUCACAUCGACGGAGCGGUUUGGCACCUCGAUGUCGGCUCAUCCCAUCCUGGGGCUGGAGAAGGUCCCAAGGGUCGGGCUGUUCGCCCGUUAAAGGGGUACGUGAGCUGGGUUCAGAACGUCGUGAGACAGUUCGGUCCCUAUCCACCGUGGGCGUAGGAGGCUUGAGAGGAGCUGCCCCUAGUACGAGAGGACCGGGGUGGACGCACCACUGGUGGACCGGUUGUGGCAGGCCUGCCGCACAGCCGGGUAGCCAUGUGCGGAAGGGAUAACCGCUGAAAGCAUCUAAGCGGGAAGCCCACCUCAAGAUAAGGCCUCCCGAGACAGGGGAGACCCUGUCCCAGAAGGGUCCAGGGAGACUACCUGGUAGAUAGGCCGGAGGUGGAAGCCCAGCAAUGGGUGGAGCUGACCGGUACUAAUCGCCCGAGCGGCUUGGCCACAGU
RNAcentral lists this ribosomal RNA (3029 nucleotides) under Thermodesulfatator autotrophicus. RNAcentral describes it as "bacterial LSU rRNA". It matches the Rfam family "Bacterial large subunit ribosomal RNA". The record is from RNAcentral. Lineage: Bacteria; Pseudomonadati; Thermodesulfobacteriota; Thermodesulfobacteria; Thermodesulfobacteriales; Thermodesulfatatoraceae.